AUAAGAGGUCCAGCCUGCCCAGUGACUUUGUUCAACGGCCGCGGUAUCCUAACCGUGCGAAGGUAGCGUAAUAACUUGUUCUUUAAAUAAGGACUAGUAUGAAUGGCACCACGAAGGUUAUACUGUCUCCUUUUUUUAAUCAGUGAAACUAAUCUCCUCGUGAAGAAGCGAGGAUAUAAAUAUAAGACGAGAAGACCCUAUGGAGCUUUAAACAACAUGGCACUUAUUACACAAAUUUUUUACUUAAAUCUUUUUAAUGAUAUGACCAUAAGUUUUUGGUUGGGGUGACCACGGGGCAUAAUAAAACCCCCAUGUUGAAAUCUUUUUAAGCCAAGAACAACACAUCUAAGCAUCAACAUUUUGACAUUCAUUGACCCAAUAUACUUGAACAACGAACCAAGUUACCCUAGGGAUAACAGCGCAAUCCACUUCAAGAGCCCCUAUCGACAAGUGGGU
Molecule: ribosomal RNA, 456 nt
Filed under: Pelophryne signata (Saint Andrew's Cross toadlet)
Lineage: Eukaryota; Metazoa; Chordata; Amphibia; Anura; Bufonidae
Description: partial 16S ribosomal RNA
Rfam family: Bacterial large subunit ribosomal RNA
Source: RNAcentral